GACGAACGCUGGCGGCGUGCUUAACACAUGCAAGUCGAACGGAAAGGCCCUGCUUUUGUGGGGUGCUCGAGUGGCGAACGGGUGAGUAACACGUGAGUAACCUGCCCUUGACUUUGGGAUAACUUCAGGAAACUGGGGCUAAUACCGGAUAGGAGCUCCUGCUGCAUGGUGGGGGUUGGAAAGUUUCGGCGGUUGGUGAUGGACUCGCGGCUUAUCAGCUUGUUGGUGGGGUAGUGGUUUACCAAGGCUUUGACGGGUAGCCGGCCUGAGAGUGUGACCGGCCACAUUGGGACUGAGAUACGGCCCAGACUCCUGCGGGAGACAGCAGUGGGGAAUAUUGCACAAUGGGCGGAAGCCUGAUGCAGCAACGCCGCGUGCGGGAUGACGGCCUUCGGGUUGUAAACCGCUUUCGCCUGUGACGAAGCGUGAGUGACGGUAAUGGGUAAAGAAGCACCGGCUAACUACGUG
Molecule: ribosomal RNA, 468 nt
Filed under: uncultured bacterium
Lineage: Bacteria
Description: partial 16S ribosomal RNA
Rfam family: Bacterial small subunit ribosomal RNA
Source: RNAcentral